UAGGGAAUCUUCCACAAUGGGCGAAAGCCUGAUGGAGCAACGCCGCGUGUGUGAUGAAGGCUUUCGGUCGUAAAGCACUGUUGUAUGGGAAGAACAGCUAGAAUAGGAAAUGAUUUUAGUUUGACGGUACCAUACCAGAAAGGGACGGCUAAAUACGUGUCAG
This 163-nucleotide ribosomal RNA is filed under the name uncultured bacterium. RNAcentral's name for it is "partial 16S ribosomal RNA". It matches the Rfam family "Bacterial small subunit ribosomal RNA", at positions 355 to 511 of the family's 1533-position model. The record is from RNAcentral.